This 253-nucleotide ribosomal RNA is filed under the name uncultured bacterium. RNAcentral describes it as "partial 16S ribosomal RNA". It matches the Rfam family "Bacterial small subunit ribosomal RNA", at positions 524 to 776 of the family's 1533-position model. The record is from RNAcentral.
UACAGAGGUCUCAAGCGUUGUUCGGAUUCAUUGGGCGUAAAGGGUGCGUAGGCGGCUCGGUAAGUCGGGUGUGAAAUCUCGGAGCUUAACUCCGAAACUGCAUUCGAUACUGCCGUGCUUGAGGACUGGAGAGGAGACUGGAAUUUACGGUGUAGCGGUGAAAUGCGUAGAUAUCGUAAGGAAGACCAGUGGCGAAGGCGGGUCUCUGGACAGUUCCUGACGCUGAGGCACGAAGGUCAGGGGAGCAAACGGG